Molecule: non-coding RNA, 31 nt
Filed under: Mus musculus (house mouse)
Lineage: Eukaryota; Metazoa; Chordata; Mammalia; Rodentia; Muridae
Source: RNAcentral
UUCUAACAGGGUCCAUACCCUACUUUGCCUA